CGGACCGGGGCACGAACCCGUGUCCCCUGCAUUGGCAGGCGGACUCUCAACCACUGCGCCACGAGGGAAGCCCUGCUUUGUAUUCUUGAUGUUUCAAUUACUGGGACAGAGCCUUGGAGUCCAGGCAGCCAGGGGUCCAGGCAACCGGGACAGGCCAAAUCCACAGAAGUUCACUACCCACUUCUCUAUGGCCUUGGUGGCCCUUGGAUCCCAGGCUUCAAUGUUUCUUUGCCACUAUUUCUGCAAAUAGUUAUUGAGUCCCUAUGAUGUUGCAAGUCACUGCACCGGGCACUGGAGAGACUUCAGUGAAUAAAACAGAUCAAGAAGCUCCUCUCAAGAUCUGGGGGAAUG
Molecule: non-coding RNA, 351 nt
Organism: Delphinapterus leucas (beluga whale)
Lineage: Eukaryota; Metazoa; Chordata; Mammalia; Artiodactyla; Monodontidae
Source: RefSeq, a predicted model, not a curated record